This 161-nucleotide ribosomal RNA is filed under the name Hordeum murinum subsp. leporinum. RNAcentral's name for it is "5.8S ribosomal RNA". It matches the Rfam family "5.8S ribosomal RNA". Rfam says of the family: 5.8S ribosomal RNA (5.8S rRNA) is a component of the large subunit of the eukaryotic ribosome. It is transcribed by RNA polymerase I as part of the 45S precursor that also contains 18S and 28S rRNA. Functionally, it is thought that 5.8S rRNA may be involved in ribosome translocation. The record is from RNAcentral. Lineage: Eukaryota; Viridiplantae; Streptophyta; Magnoliopsida; Poales; Poaceae.
ACGACUCUCGGCAACGGAUAUCUCGGCUCUCGCAUCGAUGAAGAACGUAGCGAAAUGCGAUACCUGGUGUGAAUUGCAGAAUCCCGCGAACCAUCGAGUCUUUGAACGCAAGUUGCGCCCGAGGCCACUCGGCCGAGGGCACGCCUGCCUGGCCGUCACGC